Molecule: long non-coding RNA, 403 nt
Organism: Talpa occidentalis (Iberian mole)
Lineage: Eukaryota; Metazoa; Chordata; Mammalia; Eulipotyphla; Talpidae
Exons: 3
Source: RefSeq, a predicted model, not a curated record
GUGCGCAGACCUCUCCUGCUGCGCUUGCUGCUCCCCUCAGCAGUGUAUUUCAUCGGUCUGCCUGUUCUGUUCCCCACUCUGGCUCUGUCUCAUUAGGGGCAUGAGCCAAGUGCCAGCACUCAGCUGAUCAGGUCCUAAGAAGAAACUAAGCCUGAGAAAAAUGCUGCCUCACUGAAAAAAAAGCACUUGGAAGCUGCUGUGUCUGGGCAAAUGGUCCAUAGGUAACAUCACACAGAUCCAUGAACUGGACCCUUACCCGGAUUGUCUUUGUAGAAAUUCUUAAAAUGUUUUAUGUAACCUCUUUGCAAAUUGUAUAUAAUCCUCAUUGAGAAGCUCAAGAUCUUUCCCACAGAUCUCUGGCGGCUGUUCCAGACUCAAGCCUCAGUCUUUGAUUCUUUAAUAA